RNAcentral lists this long non-coding RNA (1080 nucleotides) under Sus scrofa (pig). RNAcentral's name for it is "lncRNA (ENSSSCG00070003577.1)". Lineage: Eukaryota; Metazoa; Chordata; Mammalia; Artiodactyla; Suidae. The record is from RNAcentral.
AUGCCCUUGAAUCCCCACCACGCCGCUGCGUUGCGCGACAGACGGGGCGCGGGGGGGGGGCGGAUGCGGAGAACGGCACGGGUCCCGCGUGGGUCCGCAUCGGCGCCUGCCGAGGCCCCGGGCGGCUCGGGGCCCGGGUCGCCGUUCCGGCGCUGCCUCCCCUCCCCCAGCCCCCCAAGAGCGCAUUGUUACACUCGGCGGCCUCGGUUCAGGGCAGAGACCCCGGCGCCCGCGCCUCGGGGGCUCCCUGGAGGCGGGCACGGCUCGGGCCGCGCUCCGGCCCCGGCCCCGGCCCCCGGCGUGGAUUGGGGGCGGACCGAGAGCCCAAGAAGGGAAACCGCUCGCUGGGAAAACAGGCGCCCAGGAAGCUGGGGCCGCCGCGGCCUCGGGCCUGCCUGGUGUUUCGCUUCCCCUCCGCCCCUCCGCGGCGGGCCCUGGCGACCAAGUCUCCAAAUGUCACCCCCGCGUCCUGCCACCCCGUCGCCCCCGCUCGACGCCGCCGCCCGGCGCCCGGCCCCCGCGUCCUCCCCCCCCCCGGGUCCCCUGCCUCCCGGGAGCGGGUCAUGCCCUCGGCCGGCGCGCCGCCGUCCGGGGACGCGGGACUCGCGUGGCCGGAGCCCCCACCGUGACGUCACCCCUGAAAGGCCCGCGCGCCCGGGGCCUGGCCGCGUCCGGGCUCCCCGGCCUCCGGGGCCUCUUCCUGCCGGGUCGCGCGGCCUGCGCACAGGCCGCGGGCGCCGCUGCCCAUUUGGGGGUCCGGCCGAGAGCCCCGCGCGCCGCACCUCCCGGCACGGCCCUCGAGGCGCGGGCUCCCACGCCGUGGCCCCGCCAGGCCCCGAGUCCCCCCCGGAGAAGUCGGCUCCCCGCCCCCCCCCCGACGCACUCACAAAGCUCGCCUCCGGCCCCCGCGCCGUGCGAAUGCCCGGUCCCCACCCCGCGCUCGGCAGACCCCCCGCGCCACCGUGCGCGCACUGCCCCCGCACGCCCGACCCUCGCUCCUCGCGCCCCACGCCACGCACCGGCCCCGGCCCGCGGCGCGGGGCGCCCCCACCCGCAGCUCCCGGGACGGCCCUCCGGUGA